RNAcentral lists this ribosomal RNA (429 nucleotides) under Acidobacteriota bacterium. RNAcentral's name for it is "Acidobacteria bacterium partial 16S ribosomal RNA". It matches the Rfam family "Bacterial small subunit ribosomal RNA", at positions 355 to 776 of the family's 1533-position model. The record is from RNAcentral. Lineage: Bacteria; Pseudomonadati; Acidobacteriota.
UGGGGAAUUUUGGACAAUGGGGGAAACCCUGAUCCAGCCAUCCCGCGUGUGCGAUGAAGGCCUUCGGGUUGUAAAGCACUUUUGGCAGGAAAGAAACGUCAUGGGUUAAUACCCCGUGAAACUGACGGUACCUGCAGAAUAAGCACCGGCUAACUACGUGCCAGCAGCCGCGGUAAUACGUAGGGUGCAAGCGUUAAUCGGAAUUACUGGGCGUAAAGCGUGCGCAGGCGGUUCGGAAAGAAAGAUGUGAAAUCCCAGAGCUCAACUUUGGAACUACAUUUUUAACUACCGGGCUAGAGUGUGUCAGAGGGAGGUGGAAUUCCGCGUGUAGCAGUGAAAUGCGUAGAUAUGCGGAGGAACACCGAUGGCGAAGGCAGCCUCCUGGGAUAACACUGACGCUCAUGCACGAAAGCGUGGGGAGCAAACAGG